This 553-nucleotide ribosomal RNA is filed under the name uncultured bacterium. Its description in RNAcentral is "bacterial SSU rRNA". It matches the Rfam family "Bacterial small subunit ribosomal RNA", at positions 951 to 1501 of the family's 1533-position model. The record is from RNAcentral.
UCGACGCAACGCGAAGAACCUUACCGGGGCUUGACAUCCUCUGACAGCCCAUGAAAGUGGGAUUUCCUCUUUUUGGGGGACAGGGAGACAGGUGGUGCAUGGUUGUCGUCAGCUCGUGUCGUGAGAUGUUGGGUUAAGUCCCGCAACGAGCGCAACCCCUACUUUUAGUUGCCAGCAUUAGGUUGGGCACUCUAGAGGGACUGCCGGUGACAAACCGGAGGAAGGUGGGGAUGACGUCAAAUCAUCAUGCCCCUUAUGUCCCGGGCUACACACGUGCUACAAUGGCCUGUACAGAGGGCGGCGAAGCCGUGAGGCGGAGCAAAUCCCAAAAAGCAGGUCACAGUUCGGAUUGCAGGCUGCAACUCGCCUGCAUGAAGUCGGAAUCGCUAGUAAUCGCAGGUCAGCAUACUGCGGUGAAUACGUUCCCGGGCCUUGUACACACCGCCCGUCACACCACGAAAGCCUGCAACACCCGAAGCCGGUGACUUAACCGCAAGGAGAGAGCCGUCGAAGGUGGGGCCGGUGAUUGGGGUGAAGUCGUAACAAGGUAACC